GAACUGCGAUAACUAGUGUGAAUUGCAGAGCUAAGUGAAUCAUCGAGGUUUUGAACGCAUACUGCACCCUUGGGUCAACCCUUGGGUACGCCUAUUUGAGUGUCACCACACUACAAAACUCACACCAUUUAUGGUGUGGAAUUGGGGGUAUACUACCAAUAGCAUUCCCUUUAAAUGUAGCAGCGACGGCCCCUGUUGCAUCAUGUAACAGAACAAGCCCGUACACGCUCAAAAGUCUGAGUUAUAUUCUAACACUACUUUGAGUCGUAUGGAAACUAUUCAACCUCAUCGAUCACAGGGUGAGCUAGCUGAUGGUGUUAUUUGAUAUGCCGGCCCCACGAGGACCGGCAUAUCACCAAAAAUCUGACCUCAAAUUAGACGGGACUACCCCCCGAACUUA
RNAcentral lists this unclassified non-coding RNA (400 nucleotides) under uncultured fungus. Its description in RNAcentral is "sequence contains ITS1". The stretch from base 1 to 105 matches the Rfam family "5.8S ribosomal RNA", at positions 50 to 154 of the family's 154-position model. Lineage: Eukaryota; Fungi. The record is from RNAcentral.